AUGGGUUUCCAAUUGUCCAUGAAGGGACCACGGAUUAGAAGGCAGCGUGUGACUAUCGCAGGGACUCGGAGGCAGUGUGUGUGCAGACUUGCCUGCUUUCUCAGCAGCCAUCCUUUCCUUAAGAAAGAAAGAUGUGUGACUCUUGAAGACUGCUGACAACCUAUAGAAAUCCAGCAAUCAAUUUAAGGGCAAUAACAGCCCAGAGUGAUGCUUUACAUGCCAGUCUCAAGGGUGCCUGGCUGCAUUAAUCAUGCUGAGCCGAGCUGCUAACACUGCAAAGGCCGCCGUGCUCCUCAAGCAAGAAAGUGGGCUCAGAGCAGUGGAAGCAUUCCCAUGGGCAUUUCUGGAAGCUCAGUGAAGGCUGGCAGGGGAGGGAGGCAUUUGUCAGCGUGGGAGAAGAGGCUGUGACAGCGGGUCCAUGCAAGGGCGGAUGGGAGAAGCUGCUCUGCCUGGGACCACCAGCUCUGCUGCUCCUCAUGCUUUGCAACAGGAACCUCAGCAAAGGAAGAGCUCUCCUCAAACCCUUUGAAUUUGCUCAUAUUGUGUGUGUGUGUGUGUGUGUUUAAAGCAAAUGCCCACAAAGUACUGAAAUUGCUUAAAGCAAGCGAAGAGCCUCCUGAUCCAGCUGUGAGUGCUGAAUAGCAGAAACCAGGCGCAUGUAGUGCGCACCUGGGGGCAGGCGCAUCCACCCACCUGUUUGCAAGAAUUCAGAAAUACAACUUGGUUGGAGGCAGGCUGAAGUGAGAGCUGUGAAGAGGAAAGCAAGCAAAGCAAUUUGUUCUGGCAAUGUCUAAAAUAGCAGCUAAUUGAGAGGCGGGUGACAUGCCUCCUCUGACUCUCGAGGGCUUGUUCCCAGGAAAUGGCCUGACACCCUCUGCACAGCUUAACCACCCUCCCUGGCAAGGCUCGAAAGGGAAAAAUUGGUUAUUAAUAGCAAUAUUACUGCAGUAAUGUUUGCCCCCUAAUUGCCUUUUGGAGAAUAAACACACAGUGAGGGAUUUCGUUUAUAAACUU
This 1014-nucleotide long non-coding RNA is filed under the name Anser brachyrhynchus (Pink-footed goose). Its description in RNAcentral is "lncRNA (ENSABRG00000002661.1)". The record is from RNAcentral. Lineage: Eukaryota; Metazoa; Chordata; Aves; Anseriformes; Anatidae.